GUGUUGAUUUGCCCCAUCUGGGAGCUGGGAAAGAGCAGUAUACCCAUCUGCUGUGCAGCACAUGAAGAGCAGGACCCAGCCAACAAGAGCUGCACGUAGAUGCUGAGAUGGAAGAAGACAGCAGCCCAGAAGGGCAGGGAAGAAUGUCAGAGUGCCUGUGAAUAUUUUCACAAGGACUGGGGAGAACUUUUUCCCACGCCACUCUACAGUCAAACCCUCCAGAUGCCAACAGAUUACUGAUUAGGCUUUCCUGCCCUUGACUUGGGAUCAUCGUGUUGCAGAGCACUUGGGGACAGAGCAAAAGGCACCUCUCAUCAUGCUGUUAAUGAUGUUUUUCCACAAACUGAGAAAACACAUUCCCAAGAAAUGCCUUAAGACAUGCUGCCAGCCUGUGACCUUCUGCAAGGCGGUCUCAGGGCCAGCAGUGUAAAGGACGAGAUAGAUCUUCCUCCCACUGUCAUCACAAGCUGAGAGAAGAGAUGCUAACAGCCUCCUGUGUACUGCAGUGGAAGGCAGCUGGCACAGAAAGCGUGGAACCACAGGAAAAGGAAAUCCAUUCAUCACAAUUCUGGAAUGCUGGAAAACUCACUGAGGAACUACAAAGGGCAGGUAAAGCAAAAGCAUUUAAAAUAGUUGCAGAUGAGCUGAUAAGCGGCUCAAAGAAACAGUUAAAUUUGUGUGCAGAUAACUUAACCACAGUAUCUGGAAUGUAUAAACAUAGCACUUUUUUUUUUUUUUCUGGCCUUAAAAUUUGAUCCAAGUCUGGGAGUUAAGAAGUCCCAUUUUGUGUAAUCAGGUUCUGGUUGAACAUGAUUGCUGAAUUAUUUUAAAUUGAAGACACAUGUCUGGAUGUUGAGUUCUGUAUAUUAUUCCAGGAUGGUGUCCAUUAGGUCUUAUCCACAGGGGCUAUCUUCAUUCCUUAUGCAUCAGGAUUAGCAAAUGGUGAAUCAUGAAUAUGGAGGCAGUGAAUAGAAUGUGGUACUAGUUAAAUGGUGAUUUUGGAAAUUAUCUUGCAUGCAUUAUUCAAAACUUUUCAGUCUCUCCUGCAUAGAGUCCCUAAGGCUGUUUCAAAGUGUUAUUUUAAAGCACACUUGUACAAGGCAUUUGCAUUCUUUCAUUUUGAAUCUUGAGUUUAGCAACGAACCAACAUUUGCUUUAACCCCUUGUCAGUCCUAAAGCAUUCUCAAGAGUAUGAGUUGCUCAUCUAAUGGUUGCACUGCCAUAUGCUGUCCUUCUAUAAUAGAUCUGCCCCUGACCUCUGUGUUUUUACAUUGCUUUUUUUACUGGCAGAUGGACCAUUACAUGAAUUGAAACAUAUUUUAAUGGAUACUCCCAGUGGUGAGAGAAUAUUGUCUCAUUAGCUCCAUGGGGAAAACAGUGUAAACCCAAAGCUGAGUAGCUCACCUAUCCAUAUGGUGGGUGAAAAGAGGUGUCCUUACAGCAUAUGCUACAGGCAACGAUGCCUCCUGAAUUGCUAGAAGAUCAAACUUCUGAGGUGUGACAAGGAGACGAUGAACAAAGAGUUUGUCUUUUUCCUGUCUGGGCUGUCCGAAUGCUUGUGUAGCUUUUAAAGACUGGGCUGGAUGCUCUUUGGGUGCCCUGCGGCCAUGUACCACAGAUCAGUCACCACAAGGUGCUCUGCCCUUAUCUUUUCCCCACACAGAGCUCCUGCGGGGAAGGUCUCUGAAAGUCUUUGUUCAUCAGAAUUUUUUUCAGUUAAAUGGAUCUUUUUUGGUUUUUUUUUGUUUGUUUGUUUCAAAUCAAAACAAAAUCGACAAAAAGAAGACUGUCACCAUCAUUUGCAUGUUUCUAUUUUCACAUGUUCGUAACAACCGUAACGGGAAUUUUAUCCAUCUUUUAAUCAAAACUGUUUGAGAAAUCACACCACCCAACUUCUUCACAAAGGAAAACACUCUUGUCAGUGUGUGGACGACUUGAUGACAGAGUCAACAGUGAUUCUGAUAUAACAUUUCAUGAAAAUUGAAAGACAUCCCAAAAGCCUGCAAAGAGGAAGUGGCCACAAAAUAUGAAUACCUAUGGCCCGUUCAAAAUGCAUUCCUCAGUUUUCAGCCUGGGAAAUGACAGAGUUCAUUGUGCAGAUGGGCUCUCUGAUUCCAUCCCAAUGGUAUCUCCAUACACCGCCUCUCUCCCUCCCUCUUAGGCAGGGUGAAUCUGCUGGGCUUUAAAUCUUUCUCAGCCAGGAGGAAUUCCGAAAGGAGGAAAACAGCUGGGAAACACAUAUCCAUGCCUCCUGCAAAGGUAUGUGCCUUAUAUAUUACUGCGAGGCACAACAUCAUUUUCCAAAAAUCUCUCACUCUCUUAAAUAACACACAAAGUAUUGUUCUGAGCUGAGCUAAGGUGGAGCUGGCAGUUGACAUGUCUGAGGUCAUUCGAUAAAUGGGUGUAAUGAAGUAGUCAUGGCUAAUAUGUGUUAUAAGCUUAAUAUGAACCUGAAAAUCCCACAGAGGAGAUAUUAUAUCUUUAAAAAAUGAUAGUACGGUAAUGAUUCUAAAUCCUGCAGCUUACAAUAGUGUUUAACUGUUUUGAGCCAUUAUCGUGAUAUUAUUUUAGGGAUUUUCAUUGCAAUAGAUAGUUACAUUAAAAUUACAUUUAAGUAGAGAGUUGCCAGACUUUGCUGAUGCUUUACUAAGAACCACACAGCAGACACUUGUGAAAGCACUUCCUCUUGCCACAUACAAAUGGAUGAUUUACAAUAUGGCUAGAGAUGACAGCUUUAAUUAAAUUUCUUUUGAGGAGCUCAUUCUGGCAGCUAACCUGUGCUGGAAAGAGUGUGACACUCACUUGCAUACUUAGGAUGAGAAUCCAGAAACAGUCUUUUUAGUGGUGUAUAUCUAAAAGCAAGUAAAUAUCAUCUUAUCUGUGCAAGUCAGGAAAAUGAGGCCCAAAGGUGUGAUGUGUCUUGUACGUCACUAAUGGCCUUAACCAUUGAAGUCACUGAGCUGUACUAUACUAUAAUAAAAAAAAAAAAAAAAAAAGACA
Numida meleagris (helmeted guineafowl) is the source of this 3000-nucleotide long non-coding RNA. Lineage: Eukaryota; Metazoa; Chordata; Aves; Galliformes; Numididae. The record is from Ensembl.